GUAGCAAAUUUUAAAAGUCCUCAUCCAAAGGAAGCUCGAUUUGGAAUCCAAACGUUAAGUACGUUACAUCACAUCCAGCGACCGUAGCACAUCCACCGCAACGUAACCGCAGUGUCUGAAGAUCAUCUCGAAGCCCAAAGCAGCGAUGCGAUAUCGUCGCAGUGAAAGGUUGGUCCACGUAACAAUCGCGUGGCGCUUUCGAAAAUUACGUCACCUGAGACAAGAGAGCCGAGCGUUCGAUUUGGCCGUAUAACAACAAGGAUCCGAGGGAUCGGUUGGUCAAUCCCGGUGGAGUCGUCGAUCGCUCUGCUUUUCCUACGGGCCCUCGUUCGCGAAACGGCUCGGUCGAAAUCCAGUGAAAGUUCACGUUAAUUGGCUUGUCCAGAGGUGCUCAACGCUGCCUCGGCACCGAGGAAACAGGCCGUGGACGAACUGGCAUCUCCUACCAUCGAGAGUUUUGCUCGUGUGCAUAACGCGGAGUUUCCCCUCCAGCCAGACCACUGUCACUUUCGAACCGGCAGUCCGGCACAAAGGAGAACAGUAUCCAUGAAAAUGGCUCAUGGUACCAGUUGAGCCAAACAUCCUACGAAACCAUUGUCUCCUUCGUGAAGAGUCGCCCCGGUUUAGAUCGUUAUUCCGAAGUGCUUCGACGAGAACCUCUCGACGAGUUUCGAGAGAAACGCGAACUACUUCUGAUGGAUCUUCACAGUUUCUAGAAGUUUUUCCGAGGAAGCCAGGAAGUCAGAAAGAGAAGAAACAGAUACCAGUGGAUGAAAAUCGCUGUUCCUGUUGUCUGAGACCAUUUUUGCUAGAACGUGGAGUCCGUUGCAGCGAUUGCGGUGGAAGAUCCUGCAGGAAAGGCUGUUCUCGUUGGGACACGUCGGAUAACGCGUGGCAUUGUCUAUUUUGCCAUCAACAAAGAUACUGGCUGAGGAAGAACGGACUCGAGGAUUACCGUGGAUCGAUCGCGGCUGAUCUGCGACGAUACUUCAGUACGGCAAAAUCACAAGUUUACGCGACAGGAGUGGAAAAUGCAGCUACCAGUUCGGGAUCGUGUUUGCCCGGGGAGAAAGAAGAGGCGAACACGAUGGAAACCAUUCGUGAUCUCGUUGAGAAGAUAGUCGAAGGAUUGAUCGGUAGCGUCGAGGAUAUACCGAUCGAUCGCCUCUACGAUCAUCCGGAAUAUGACAAGCUUUUGGGAAAGUAUCUUGUACCCUUGGUCCAUGCUCUAACCCGACUGGCUACGGCUCUGGAACUGUCUCUAAAAAACAAACCAGGCACGGAUUCCCCUGCGAUGGCGCACACCGCCCUCCGCGAGAUCGUGGAACGGGCGGUCGACGAGGCCCGGAAGUUACCCAGCCUGGGAGGUUCCGGAGAACCCGGAAGACCGCCGGAAGGAAGGGCCGACAGCUACGAGGACCUGCUAGCUACCGCGAUACUGAACAAGGUCAUCGAGAAAUUCCAAAAGGAACAGGUGGACGGUAAUAGCAACGUUCUCCACGGGAAACCGGUGGCCGCGGGCAACUGUGCAUCGAACGAGCCUGGCCUUGACGAGGGCGUCGAAGGAUGCAGCAGCCUGGAACCAAUGUCGCACGAAGACUACGCCGAUUACACCGUUGCGUGUUUGAGACGCAAGAGUCAGAUGGAACCUACUGUGUCCCUUAUGAUAGAGGAGCGAAUAGAAGAAGUAACGACGACUUAUGCGUCGGACGAGGAACCCAAAGAAAAUGAUGCCUUGGCUAUUAGGAACGCUCACCGAGUGCCAUUUCCUGAACUUGGAAUGGACAUUAUCGACCCAUCGCAGGAGUCGUCAGAGGAUAGCCAGGACGAGCCAGGCACCCCAACCGCGCACAUCGGCCUGGUCUCUCCAGUGGAAUCCUGGGAAGAAAAUUGGUUGUUCCAGAAGAAAAGGGUGCAAACCCAGGCUGACCCAGUGGCCAUGUUGGUGCCAAAUCCCAGCGCCGAUUUCAAGGCUCUGAUAGGCGAUAAAGACGCCGAGGACACGUCCGACCUCUCUGAAUGUUCCUCGGCUCAAUCCGACGAGGAGAUCGAGAAGGAGCUUAUGGAGGCUAUAAACAACGUCGUGCCGCGAUCUCCGAAGAGAACCAGCUUCCAAAAUGGCGACCGGGAGUCGAGUGAUUCUAAGGAAAAGCAUGCGGAUGUUCCUGAAGACAAUGAUUUAGAGUGGAACGAAGAGAAUCAGGUGCUAAAGGUGGAAAUGAAUGGAAACGAAGCCAAAGAUGAGAACAAGGUGAACGAAGUGGAGGUAGAGAAGGUUGAGUCGAGGAAAAUGGAGAGUGAACGGACUAACGAGGAACUUAAAGACAAAUCAACGAAUGGUAAAUUGAUAGAAGAUAUUGAAGAGAAAUCAACGAAUGAUCCAUUGAUAGAAGAUGUAAAAGACAAAUCGACGAAUGGUCAAAUGAUAGAAGAUAUUAAAAUUAAUACGGUGAAGAAUGUGGAUCUUCUGGUAAAUUCUCAGGAAGAAAAUUUGUCGGUGCCGAAGACACCGACCUCUACGCCAACGUGGACUUUUGUACCGGAAAACAAUUUUGAAAAUAUUAGGGGGGAGGAGAUUUUGAGAGAAGAGGUUCUUAAUUCGCUGGAAUGCGCUAAGAAGAAGCUGAUGGCUGUUAAUGAUGACGAACCGUUUAAGGAGACGUCUGGACAAAAAGCGGACUUUCAUGCAGAAGAUAUUCAGCAAGAAAGUGAGUACACUGAACACUACGACACCGCGACCCAAAGGCAUCUGGACAGCUUGACAAAGCUAGAGGGUUCGGAAUCGAAAAAUUCCUCGGAGGAGAAUGCAGAGAGCAGGUGCCGAGAAGCUGCGGCGCUCGCCAAAGCUGAUUCGGCUUCGUCCCUGAAGAGCAAGAAAUCGGAAGAGGAGGUUCGGCUGGCUGCACCUCCAAGACCAGGUACGAUCGCUGAACGAGAGCACAAGAAAUGGGAGAACGCUCCUCCGAUUCAGAACAACCCCUACAGCGAGGAGAACAUCCAGAAGAGGUUGCUGGAGAGACAGUAUUCUAGGAGGGCAUCAGACAUUCCUGGAAUUCACGCCGAAUUGCCGAAGAGCAACGGGGAGGAUUUGGAUGUCGUGCUGACUCCUCAUGAACCGGAUAUCAAGCGGUUCGGCAGGGACUACUACAUCAACCACUCGAGAGCCUUAAGCAACGAGAAAGGACGAAGAUCGGCCGCGUCGACCUCGAGCAGACCCAGCAGCUCAUUAUCCCAAGGAUCGAGCUCAACCGGGCCCGACCAGGAUCAACAGGAGGAGACGCGAUAUCGUGAAACCGAGGCUCUGCUGAAUCGCAGCAACGACGUCAAGUCGAAAGUAGCCAAAUGGCAGAACAACAUCGCGGAGAACAAAUACCAAACGGUUCGAUCAGCGGACGAGGAGAGACCGAACUCGAGGAAGAUGGAGCUGCAGAGGACGUGGGAGGACCAGCGAAUGGAGGAGAUUCUGGAGAACGAGAGGAAGAAUAACAAGAACGAGAUCAACGCGAAGCUGAACAAUCAAGAGAACAGCGCCGUCGAGAAGAAGUCAAACUCCGACGAGAACCCGCGGAAGAUCAAGAGGAUCGAUCUGAAAGCUUACGGAUUCGAGAACGAGUUCUCCAAUGGCGGCAAAGUAACCAAGACACCGAGGGUCGUGAAUAAACUGGACUUGAAGAGGUUCGGCUACGACGGCGGUAUUCGACGAACGCAGUCCAAUAUUCAAUUAAACAGCAUCGGCAACGACGACUUCAAACCCAGAAUCGUACACGCAAGGAACAAAUCCAAUCUGACGCGCCAUUACGGAAACGAUCGCUGCCUGAUCGAGACGCAAGCUUCCGGCGAUAAUAAUCUGACGCAGAGUACCGAGAACUUGAACAGGUUUCAAGAGAGUUACAACGGGUUCGGUUUAAAGUCCGCGAAAUCGGUGCCUAAUAUCGCUAAGUUUUACUCGAACACGAUCGAUCAUGAAGACGACGAGAAUUUCAGUCAGAGUUCGUACGAUUUGGGGAUCGUCAAGAACGGCUCGGUUAAGAAUAUUGCGAAUAAUUAUAAUCCAGAGAAGUGCAACAUCAAUUCGGUCGACGAGUCAGAAAAUGACACGGAUUCGGAGAAGGAACGCUCGAAGAAGGUUAUCAAUCAGGAGGAGGACAGCAAGCUACCUAUGCCUUCGGUUAGGAGACUCGCUGAGGCGUUCAGCAAGCAGUCCGAAAACGCUCCGGCUAUUUCCAAGGCAAACAAGAGCAACGUGUACAAAGAACGAUCGUCGACACCGGAGAUACAGAUAGUCGAAUCUCCCCGACAAAUGCACAGUUUAACAGCCAGAUCGUUGUCGAAACAAUUUCGAGAGGGUCUCCGACAAAUUCCGAACAAAGUCACUUCGCCUCCGGCUAGCCACGUCACCAUGGAACAAAGCAAAAUGGCGGAGAACCAAACGGAAGUGGUGCAAGCGAAGAACGACUCGUCGAACGACGUGAACGUGAUUUUGCCUGGGAAAUUAAAAUCGAAUAUUAUAUUCUGGGAACAGAUGCAAAGGAGGAGCUAGAAUGCAUAUUUCGAAUCGUGUUGUAUUCUCCGGAAGUUGAGGAACGUGAGACGAAUUUAAACGAGAACCAUGUGUUCGAUGAUCUUUCAUCGAUUUGCAUGGUGAAAAUUAAUCUCGCGUUUAUUCUUUUCGAAGACUUACAGGUCAGGAAAGGGUCAAGGACCAAGAUCAAACUGCCACGAUUAUUAAAAAAAAUGCUCAACGUUUUAUUCAAAC
RNAcentral lists this unclassified non-coding RNA (4756 nucleotides) under Megachile rotundata (alfalfa leafcutting bee). RNAcentral describes it as "uncharacterized LOC100881454, transcript variant X6". Lineage: Eukaryota; Metazoa; Arthropoda; Insecta; Hymenoptera; Megachilidae. The record is from RNAcentral.